GGGCGUGGAUGAUGAGAUCACAAGUAAAAAAUACAGUUAUCCCUGUCUUACUUCCUCGGAAGGGUGCUGAGAAUACUUCGAAUCUGACACGAUU
Molecule: non-coding RNA, 94 nt
Organism: Triticum aestivum (bread wheat)
Lineage: Eukaryota; Viridiplantae; Streptophyta; Magnoliopsida; Poales; Poaceae
Source: Rfam